Molecule: ribosomal RNA, 253 nt
Filed under: uncultured bacterium
Lineage: Bacteria
Description: partial 16S ribosomal RNA
Rfam family: Bacterial small subunit ribosomal RNA
Source: RNAcentral
GACGAACCGUGCGAACGUUGUUCGGAAUCACUGGGCUUAAAGGGCGCGUAGGCGGCCCGUCAAGUCAGGGGUGAAAGCCCCCAGCUCAACUGGGGAAGGGCCUUUGAUACUGGCGGGCUCGAGGGGGAUAGGGGCGGACGGAACUUCCGGUGGAGCGGUGAAAUGCGUUGAUAUCGGAAGGAACGCCGGUGGCGAAAGCGGUCCGCUGGGUCCCCUCUGACGCUGAGGCGCGAAAGCCAGGGGAGCAAACGGG